GAUGAAGAACGUAUCGAAAUGCGAUAAGUAAUGUGAAUUGCAGAAUUCAGUGAAUCAUCGAAUCUUUGAACGCACAUUGCGCCCCCUGGUAUUCCGGGGGGCAUGCCUGUUCGAGCGUCAUUUCACCACUCAAGCCUCGCUUGGUAUUGGGCAACGCGGUCCGCCGCGUGCCUCAAAUCGACCGGCUGGGUCUUCUGUCCCCUAAGCGUUGUGGAAACUAUUCGCUAAAGGGUGUUCGGGAGGCUACGCCGUAAAACAACCCCAUUUCUAAGGUUGACCUCGGAUCAGGUAGGGAUACCCGCUGAACUUAAGCAUAUCAAUAAGCGGAGGA
Molecule: unclassified non-coding RNA, 331 nt
Filed under: soil metagenome
Description: partial contains 5.8S ribosomal RNA, internal transcribed spacer 2, and large subunit ribosomal RNA
Rfam family: 5.8S ribosomal RNA (bases 1-120)
Source: RNAcentral